CAGUCGCCGCGGGAAUACGAAGGGUGCAAGCGUUAAUCGGAAUUACUGGGCGUAAAGCGUGCGUAGGCGGUGAGUUAAGUCUGUUGUGAAAUCCCCGGGCUCAACCUGGGAAUGGCAAUGGAUACUGGCAAGCUAGAGUGUGUCAGAGGAUGGUGGAAUUCCCGGUGUAGCGGUGAAAUGCGUAGAGAUCGGGAGGAACAUCAGUGGCGAAGGCGGCCAUCUGGGACAACACUGACGCUGAGGCACGAAAGCGUGGGGAGCAAACAGGAUUAGAUACCCCCGUAGUCCCUGUCUCUUAUAC
Molecule: ribosomal RNA, 301 nt
Filed under: uncultured bacterium
Lineage: Bacteria
Description: partial 16S ribosomal RNA
Rfam family: Bacterial small subunit ribosomal RNA
Source: RNAcentral